AGUAGCUAAGGUUCUGUGGUCAUUAACCAUUGAUUUCUAGCUUUAAUCAGAUCAGUAUUAACUGAGUUCUCAGUUUCCUUUUGAUUUCACUUGCUCUUAAAACUCAAUGAUCUUCUUUAUGUUUCAGUUUUCCUUUGCAAAUUCCACUUUACAAUUUUACCUUCUGAAUCUGUUAAUUCCCUUAUUUAAUUUUUGGAUUUGAUAAUUUAUAUUUUCUAUCCUAACUUUUGUCAUAAUCCCAGUAUCAUCUUUGUCUAUUUUCUAUCCUCUUGGAACCUGGAAAAUCGACCCCUUUUGCAGAACCUAUCUUCUUGGUUCCUAAGCUUGGAUUCAAGAGAUACCAAUUUGCAUUAGUGUAGACGCAAAGAUUUUAUCAUUUCGGAACUGUUUCAAUUGUCAGUAGGUAAUUACAUUCAUAGUAAAGUGGGGUUAUCUUUUGAUCAGGAAGGAGGGCAUCUGCUCUGGCAAUAUGAUGUUGGAGAACCAAUUAUCUGAUCCGUCUCCUCUGGCAGACAGGUUGGCUUGCAUUUGCGGCAGUUCAGGAAGCAUAUAUUUGCUUCAAAUCAACUCAAAUGCCACAACAUAUGGGAAUCAGCAAGUGAAAGAGUUGGUGGACCCAAUGGUGCAGGAAUUUGCACACAUGAACCUCCUAGGAGAUAUUUUCUCUUCACCUGUGAUGAUUGGUGGCCGAAUUUAUGUUGGUUGUCGAGAUGAUUAUCUGCACUGUAUUGGAGUUGAGGCGAAGGUUUCGAUAAAAAAAUAAUGGUGGAAAACCCAAAGGGGGUCAUUCUUUUCACUAACUACUCAAGUCCAUUUUUCUUUGAUAUGCUUGUACAUUCAUCAUUGAACACAGAAAAUCCUGGAUGAUCCAAAACUAGGAUUCACCAAAAGUGAAAAUUCAAACAGAAAGCUAUUUACAAUGUCAUGCCCAUAAUUUAUUGGUUCGGCACCCGCAGAGGUGCUCAAGAUGGAUUUUAUGCUCAGCAUUAUAUUGUUGAGCUUCAGUUGUUAAAAAGAGAAAGAAACAAGAAACUGCACACCAAUACUGGUGGUUACCUUCCUAAACUUGUUUGAAGUGGGUCUUGUUCAUGUCAUUAGACCAGUUUGAAGUAGUUGUUGUGGAUAUAUUGAAGUGUUGUGGCAGAAGAAACAGACCCUAGGUAUGACCGGGAAGGCAUUGUACAAGACCAGAAACUAUUCAAAGUGACAAUGAUGAACCUCCACAUGUAAUGUUCUGGCAAUGAUCCUGAGGAAUUGUAUUCCCGUAAAGUGCUUUUAUUAAUGAAUACUUUACACCGAAUGGAGCAACUUUAGUGUUAAAAGUCCAAGGUACUGGGUGCAUUUAUAGAGCACAUUCCGGUGGGAAAGGUUGGAUUGCUUACCGUCAUAGCUCAAAGAUUUGCAACCAAGAACUGUGCAGAGCUUUCCAGAGGACCUUUGCUGAGUUAAUAGUUUCAGGCAGUAAAGAAAUUGGUAAUUAAAGAUCUCAUGUCUUUAUGAUAUUCUGUUUCUCUUUCUAUUCUCAGGAUUAAGGGGAUUUGAACUUGUGUACUAAGUAAUGCCAUUAGUUUCAGGACUUUAAUAGUUUAUAUAUAACUAAGGAGCAAAAUUUUCUUU
Macadamia integrifolia is the source of this 1617-nucleotide long non-coding RNA. RefSeq lists it as uncharacterized. The record is from RefSeq and is a predicted model, not a curated record. The transcript has 2 exons. Lineage: Eukaryota; Viridiplantae; Streptophyta; Magnoliopsida; Proteales; Proteaceae.